CGGGUCUUGCGCAAUGGCGCCUCACGAACCACGUCAGGUCCGGAAGGAAGCAGCGUUAAGAGAGAUACGGCAUGUGCCGCAAGG
RNAcentral lists this signal recognition particle RNA (84 nucleotides) under uncultured Selenomonas sp. RNAcentral's name for it is "Bacterial small signal recognition particle RNA". It matches the Rfam family "Bacterial small signal recognition particle RNA". From Rfam's summary of the family: The signal recognition particle (SRP) is a universally conserved ribonucleoprotein involved in the co-translational targeting of proteins to membranes. Archaeal SRP consists of a 7S RNA and homologues of the eukaryotic SRP19 and SRP54 proteins. The record is from RNAcentral. Lineage: Bacteria; Bacillati; Bacillota; Negativicutes; Selenomonadales; Selenomonadaceae.